GCGUCUGAUUAGCUAGUUGGUAAGGUAACGGCUUACCAAGGCGACGAUCAGUAGCCGACCUGAGAGGGUGAUCGGCCACAUUGGAACUGAGACACGGUCCAAACUCCUACGGGAGGCAGCAGUGGGGCAUAUUGCACAAUGGGCGAAAGCCUGAUGCAGCAACGCCGCGUGAGUGAUGAAGGCCUUCGGGUCGUAAAACUCUGUCCUCAAGGAAGAUAAUGACGGUACUUGAGGAGGAAGCCCCGGCUAACUACGUGCCAGCAGCCGCGGUAAUACGUAGGGGGCUAGCGUUAUCCGGAUUUACUGGCGUAAAGGGUGCGUAGGCGGUCUUUCAAGUCAGGAGUGAAAGGCUACGGCUCAACCGUAGUAAGCUCUUGAAACUGGGAG
This 387-nucleotide ribosomal RNA is filed under the name Clostridioides difficile. RNAcentral's name for it is "bacterial SSU rRNA". It matches the Rfam family "Bacterial small subunit ribosomal RNA", at positions 233 to 639 of the family's 1533-position model. The record is from RNAcentral. Lineage: Bacteria; Bacillati; Bacillota; Clostridia; Peptostreptococcales; Peptostreptococcaceae.